Molecule: long non-coding RNA, 873 nt
Organism: Harpia harpyja (harpy eagle)
Lineage: Eukaryota; Metazoa; Chordata; Aves; Accipitriformes; Accipitridae
Exons: 3
Source: RefSeq, a predicted model, not a curated record
CAAGCACAUGAGAGUUUGCAACAGUCAUCAUCUACCUAGGUUCUUCAGGAAGAGCGUGAUCUUGAUAUUGGGGGAUCUAGAGUCUUCCUAAGAAAUAUUUUUACUGAGACCAACUUGAGCUUACUGUGUAUGGUGUUUGGCAACAGCUAUUCUCAUUCGGAUAGUCAUUCUGUUAAUGAAUUAUCUACUGAUCUAAUGCUUUCUAUGAAAUCAAAAGUAUGCCCUCAUGAUAACAUGCUUUUAGUUCAUCACUGCCAUGAGGCUUUUCUGAUCUCCAUAACUAUUAAUGCACAGUAGUUGAUUGAAAAGAGUUUGGAUUUAUGUUGUAGAGAAAUGCAUGUGGAUCUCCAGGAUAACUUUCAUGCUGUCUAAAAAUGGCAAGAAUAUCUUGUGUCUGUAUGAAAAGCUCUCCAUCCAAUGUAGUAAAUACCAAUGUGGAAACAUUAAUAGCUGCUAGUAUGUAUAUUUUGCUAAGAAUACAGGGUAAUCAAUUUUCAGUAGAUGAAUAGAACAGAGGGCUAAAAGUUUGCCUUCCAUGGAAAACUGCCACCCUGUGAGAGACUGAAUUGUUAUCUCCAGCUAUUUGUCUCAAAGAUUGUUUGUUGUGAGAGACUGGACUGUCAUCUCAAGCCAUUAGUCUCAAGGAUUGUUUGCUGUGAUGAGCCACUUAUCCCAGAGAUGGCUUGUUUAAGCAGGGCACUCCUCUGUCCAUAAGGACAUUACCAGGCCACUGAGGCAUCCAGGGGAGGAGACAGGCUGGAGCCAACAAAGCAUGCAGGAACGUGGAGAUUACCAUUGUCAUGGAAACUGUAGUCUUUGAGAUAAGGUACUGGUUUCUGGUGUUGAUCAUGCAGAGGUCCUGUGCUAGACGAA